RNAcentral lists this ribosomal RNA (484 nucleotides) under uncultured bacterium. RNAcentral describes it as "bacterial SSU rRNA". It matches the Rfam family "Bacterial small subunit ribosomal RNA", at positions 30 to 507 of the family's 1533-position model. The record is from RNAcentral.
AUUGAACGCUGGCGGCAUGCCUUACACAUGCAAGUCGAACGGCAGCACGGACUUCGGUUUGGUGGCGAGUGGCGAACGGGUGAGUAAUGUAUCGGAACGUACCUUUCAGUGGGGGAUAACGUAGCGAAAGUUACGCUAAUACCGCAUAUUUUGUGAGCAGGAAAGCAGGGGAUCGCAAGACCUUGCGCUGAUUGAGCGGCCGAUAUCAGAUUAGCUAGUUGGUGGGGUAAAAGCCUACCAAGGCGACGAUCUGUAGCGGGUUUGAGAGGAUGAUUCGCCACACUGGAACUGAGACACGGUCCAGACUCCUACGGGAGGCAGCAGUGGGGAAUUUUGGACAAUGGGGGCAACCCUGAUCCAGCCAUGCCGCGUGAGUGAAGAAGGCCUUCGGGUUGUAAAGCUCUUUCAGCCGGGAAGAAAUCGCAUAGGCUAAUACCCUGUGUGGAUGACGGUACCGGAAUAAGAAGCACCGGCUAACUACGUG